This 423-nucleotide ribosomal RNA is filed under the name uncultured bacterium. Its description in RNAcentral is "bacterial SSU rRNA". It matches the Rfam family "Bacterial small subunit ribosomal RNA", at positions 356 to 772 of the family's 1533-position model. The record is from RNAcentral.
CGAGAAUUUUUCACAAUGGGCGCAAGCCUGAUGGAGCGACGCCGCGUGGGGGAUGAAUGGCUUCGGCCCGUAAACCCCUGUCAUUUGUGACCAAACCGCGUUAUUUAAAAGAUGGCGCGCUGAUGGUAGCGAAAGAGGAAGGGACGGCUAACUCUGUGCCAGCAGCCGCGGUAAUACAGAGGUCCCGAGCGUUGUUCGGAUUCACUGGGCGUAAAGGGUGCGUAGGUGGUGGGGUAAGUCGGAUGUGAAAGCUCGGAGCUCAACUCCGAAAAGGCAUUGGAAACGGCCCUGCUAGAGGGUCGGAGGGGGGACUGGAAUUCUCGGUGUAGCAGUGAAAUGCGUAGAUAUCGAGAGGAACACCAGUGGCGAAGGCGAGUCCCUGGACGACACCUGACACUGAGACACGAAGGCCAGGGGAGCAAA